UGGGGAAAAGCUGAUUACCUAUUAGAGAGGGCGCGAAGGAACUGGAGAGAGGCGAAAGAAAUUCAGUCGAGUCAGGGAAGGAUCCCUGAUACUGACGUGGAAGUGGGGCCCAAAAGGGGUGGAGGAGAUUGGAGGGAAGAGUCAAAACCCUCCAGUCUUCGGGUAGGGAAAAGACUGAAGAAUUAAGACCCCAGAGAACGAGGCUGAAACAGGAAUCACUUGGCUACUCUCGAAGAGGAUAGUUUCAGUAAGGGGGCUUCCCCAUCAUUUCUGGCCACAGAUUUAGGAAAUGAAUACAUGAAAACAGGAAUGAUGGGAGGAAGUGCAAAUGUCUCCUGUCCUAAGAGGAGAAUCGGUUUAGUUUUGCCAGACACAGAGGUUUCGGUAACUACAGCCAGCCCUGGGCAUAGAAGUUAGGAAACAGAGCCAGGUUUAGCAUCCCAAAGGGAUGUGCAGCUCUGUGCAGUAGGAUGACCUGACUCCCUGUGUCCUGUUCCCCUGGACUUGCAAGGCGGGGUUGAUCUGUGACACAGAGACUACUAUGGACAAAUCUGGGUGAAGAGAGAAAGUUGCUGGCCAGGCAGACCUAGAGAAAUGAGCUCAAGGCUUAGACAAGAUAAGGUGACUUUCAUGGGGAGUUCCCCAAAGGGAUUUCAAGGAUCCCUGAUUUACAGCUGUGAGAUACAACCUAGGCUGCAAUCACACUACACUUUAGUUAGUGGUAUUGAAGAGUUGUGGCCAAAAAGGUCGUUUCACUCUGCAUCCCAUCUAGUGAGUGAUGAGCUUCUGAAGUUGGCUAUCCUGGUCCUAGAACAGACAACAUACAAUCUGUCAUCUGACCUAGAGGAAUUGAGAGACUGGUGUCUGACAAAGGAAAACAGGGUUGGGAGGAGAGAGGAGAUAUGGCUUGGAGUAACUACUGUCCCUUGCAAAUGAUGAACAGAAGUGCCAGAUUGAGGGAGAUCCUCAUGGUGGCCAGCUCGAACAUAAAGACACCCAUGAUGAGCGUGCCGGUGCUCAACACCAAGAAGGCCCUGAAGAAGGUCAAGAGCCUGAAGAAGAAGCUGACCAGAGUGUGCUUGGGCGAGGUACUGCAGAAAGUUGAUGUCCAAGAGUCCUUCUGCAUGGAAGAAAAGAGAAGCAAAUACCGGGUCUACUGCAUUCGCUUUAAUUUCCUCCCCUACAAGUAUUACCAGCAGGAGAAGUACUUGCGACCUACAGACAUUCUGCAUUUUGUAGAAACAAGGGACAAACAGACCCCUCAGUGGAUUUCAGUGUAAAAGCUCCGAUCCUGAUUCAAGUGGAAAAGCCUCUGAUCCUGAUCCAGUGGAAAAGACUUCAACCCAGAAAUUAGGAAAAGCAAUCAGGAUUACAGUUGGGAAGAAUACAGGCCUUUUAAGACAACAAGACAAUAUCCAAUGCAAACGACUCCAAUGUAAUUACCAGAUGAUGAGGAGAAAUCCCAAAUUUGGUAAAUAGAAGGGAAUUAGAUUAACUGCUUGGGGAAGAGGAUCUGCUUAUAUUUCCACAGAUGGAGAAAGAAUCAGAUGGCUGACUAUGAAACUGUUAAAAAGACUUUUAAAAGCUUCAGGAAUCAUUGGAUUUCCUAACACAAGAUGAAACUGUUUUACUUCUUGAAAAACCAGCAAGAAUCAUUGGGUUCCCUGAGAUGAGAAAUUGUUGAUGAGACUUUUGCAGUACUUCAGGGCUUACAGGAACUAUUGGAUUCCUGGCACAUGAACUAAUGGACAAUGGAAUCCUAUUGGACUGUUUCUAGGACUUAUGGACAUGUGUAAAUUUUUAGGUUGAUUCAUGUUGUUACAUUACUACUAGCCUGUGUUAUAUUGCUAUGUACUUAUGUAAAUUAUGUAUAAUGCCUCCCAUAUUGAUGGAUUUAUGUAUACCAUGUAUAUCUGUUACAAAGUUCUGGCCCAUAUUGAUGGAUUUAUGUGUACCCCCUCAGAAACCCCCUAUGUUUUAAAACAAAAGAAAGGGGGAGAUGUUGGAAUCCUUACUAACUGCUAAGUAAUUAGAGUUGAUCUAAUCUUACAAGAAGAUGUUUUGGGCAGAACCUGAAACAAGGUACUAAGUAGAACUACCCAUAAUCCCUCUCUCUGGAAGGAGCAUAAAUAGGCCAAUGGGCCAGUCGGAGAGGUCUUCAGAGGAAGACGCUACAAGUCGAGAUUUCACUGGAAUGACAUGAAGACUGGAGCUGGCUGGAGGCUGAAGAAAGCAGAGGUAGAGGCUGAAGGACCAGACCUUUGGAUUUAAAGACAUUUGGAGAGAGCUCUUGGAACCAAGUAGAGAGAUAGGCCUCUAAGCUAACCGGGCUAUAUUGGAGAUAAUAAAAGAUCUGAACUUUUAUCACCUGGCUGUGUUUUGAGAAGAAAAAGCUCACCACAAUAACCCUAUGUAAUAAACUGAGGCACUUCCAAUAAAGAUCUGUAUCUUUUUAGAGAUUUACCUAAAGCAUGGAGAAGUUAAUGACAAAUUUGUAUCAGAGGUGAGACUUGAAUCCAAGUCUUUUUGGUCUGGGGUCAGGGCUCUUGCAACCAUGACAUAUUGUUGUUCAUGAUGUAGUUGCAAUAGGCACUAACCCAUUUAACAAAUGAAGAAACUGAGAUUUUAGAGUUUAAGGAUCACAUAAUUGUUAACUGUUAGAUAUGAGGUUCAAAGUCAGGUCACUCUUGUUUUUAAGUCCAGAAACUUAGGACAGAAACAAUUGUGUAGAUAAUGCAAAAUAUAGAGAAUUGAAAAACAAACCUUUUUUCUCUCUGGGAUCUUAUGUUGUUUAUUUGUACUUUAAAUAUGAGUGGUAUUUGAUGUCUUGGGAAUUCACAAGAAUUCAAAUGAAUAAGGCAGCCAUUCUAUGAAGCUGAUGACCUAUGAGAAGUUGGCAACCUUUGCAAUUACCCAAUGUGCCCCUUGUUACACUCCUGUCCAUGUUCUGUGCUAUCCAGAGAAUGAAAAUGUUCUCACAAUAAUUCGAGAUUGACCCAAAUUUGCUUGCUGUCAUAUCUUCCUUGUCUGGCAAGAAAAUGAUUAAUGUAAAUGUUUUGGUUUAAAAGAAGGAAAUCCCAGUUAUUCUUAUAUCCCCACUCCUGAUGAGCUUCAGACUAAAAUUCCAUGCUGAUCUUUGUAAACACAGUUAUUACUAAUGUGUUAUUUAAACAAUUUUCAAAGAAGUCAUCCACAAAGGAGUUCCUUAAAUCAAGGAGGUGAUGUUGUUCCCAAAAAGUUAUUAUCAAGGGAGUUACUUAAAGCCAUGGAGGAGAUGUCAAGUGGAAUUUUUUACCAAAGGAGUUAAUUAAUCAGAAAAGAAAAUGAUAAUCAAAGAGAUUGGAAGCAAUAAUCACGAUGGAAUAAAUCUCUUAGAAAUAACUGAAUUGACUAUUACUGGCCUACAGAGAAGUAUAUGGCAGAAGAGAUGUAAUAUAUAAGACUAGGGCCAUCAAAAGAGAAUUUAGAAGUCACAAGUUACCUUUCUGGUCCUUAUAUGAUUUCAUGAAACUCUGACCUGAAAUGCUUUUAUCCACCAUACCCAGUGAGGUAAAGAAUGUGAGGAUGAGGUGGUGAAGAUGGAGAGAUAUCUGUUGAUUCUUUGCUUGGGGAGAAAUUUAAUUCUUAUUAAUUGCUUGCUGUGUGCAAGACACUGGAUAACAAAUACUCUUUCUGCUUUUAGAUGGUAAACAAAUAAGGCAGCUGUAAUUGAACAUUGAAUUCAGAAUAAAAGGACCUGGGUUAAAAA
RNA transcript from Antechinus flavipes (yellow-footed antechinus), 3748 nucleotides. It is a transcript of the gene named DNA-directed RNA polymerase I subunit RPA1-like, with no coding region annotated. NCBI's taxonomy places the organism in Eukaryota, Metazoa, Chordata, Mammalia, Dasyuromorphia, Dasyuridae. The transcript is spliced from 5 exons. The record is from RefSeq and is a predicted model, not a curated record.